GCUACCUCAUUUGCCACUGCGGAAGCAACCCAAACUCCACCUGGGACCACUCAUCUCCUUACCAUCUUCAGCUGCAGGAAAGCAGUGUUUGGAGGGAUUUAGCAGUUGUGGACCAUGGUUUCUGUUUCAGAUGGAUUAGGUGGCAAGAGUUUGGGGGUAAGCCAGGAAGAAGUUGUACCCUGAGGACUGGAAAGCAGAGGCACCAGGAAAAGGCCUUGUAGAGAUGAGGGGUGCCGAUUGUAUUUGAAAACUUCUGCCCUUGCUUCUGGAUAUGCUGGGGGAUACAGCUUGAAACUAAAACAGAGCCCUGGGGUGACUGCUGCCAAUGUGUGGAGAAUAGAAAACCUGAAACUGACAAUGGGCCUUCUGAAAAACAUCUUCAAUCAGCUCAGAGAAGUCCUCACAGGAGCCAUGGUUCCCAAAGAAAUGAUACACAAAAGGCAUUUGCUGAUUAACUGAGGAGCUAAAAGUGCAACCAGGUGAGUAACAGACCAGGUAGAAAAAUGGUCUCGAAGAGAAGGCCGAUAGCAUUCUUCUUCUCUAAUCAAGAUGAGGUGGA
This is a long non-coding RNA of Numida meleagris (helmeted guineafowl), 559 nucleotides long. RefSeq lists it as uncharacterized. Lineage: Eukaryota; Metazoa; Chordata; Aves; Galliformes; Numididae. The record is from RefSeq and is a predicted model, not a curated record. The transcript has 3 exons.